This 505-nucleotide ribosomal RNA is filed under the name uncultured bacterium. Its description in RNAcentral is "partial 16S ribosomal RNA". It matches the Rfam family "Bacterial small subunit ribosomal RNA", at positions 28 to 507 of the family's 1533-position model. The record is from RNAcentral.
GGCGAACGCUGGCGGCGUGCCUAAUACAUGCAAGUAGAACGCACAGUUUAUACCGUAGCUUGCUACACCAUAGACUGUGAGUUGCGAACGGGUGAGUAACGCGUAGGUAACCUGCCUGGUAGCGGGGGAUAACUAUUGGAAACGAUAGCUAAUACCGCAUAAUAUUAAUUAUUGCAUGAUAAUUAAUUGAAAGGUGCAAUUGCACCACUACCAGAUGGACCUGCGUUGUAUUAGCUAGUAGGUGAGGUAACGGCUCACCUAGGCGACGAUACAUAGCCGACCUGGGAGGGUGGUCGGCCACACUGGGACUGAGACACGGCCCAGGCUCCUACGGGAGGCAGCAGUAGGGAAUCUUCGGCAAUGGACGAAAGUCUGACCGAGCAACGCCGCGUGAGUGAAGAAGGGUUUCGGAUCGUAAAGCUCUGUUGUAAGAGAAGAACGGGUGUGAGAGUGGAAAGUUCACACUGUGACGGUAUCUUACCAGAAAGGGACGGCUAACUACGUG